CCUACGGGCGGCUGCAGUGAGGAAUAUUGGGCAAUGGACGCAAGUCUGACCCAGCCAUGCCGCGUGAAGGAUGAAGGCGUUCUGCGUUGUAAACUUCUUUUAUCUGGGAAGAAACCUACUUUUUCUAAAGUAGCCGACGGUACCAGAGGAAUAAGCACCGGCUAACUCCGUGCCAGCAGCCGCGGUAAUACGGAGGGUGCAAGCGUUAUCCGGAUUUACUGGGUUUAAAGGGUGUGUAGGCGGGUAUUUAAGUCAGUGGUGAAAUCUCCGAGCUCAACUCGGAAACUGCCAUUGAUACUAUUUAUCUUGAAUAUUGUUGAGGUAGGCGGAAUAUGUCAUGUAGCGGUGAAAUGCUUAGAUAUGACAUAGAACACCGAUUGCGAAGGCAGCUUGCUAAACCAUUAUUGACGCUGAGGCACGAAAGCGUGGGGAUCAAACAGGAUUAGAUACCCCAGUAGUC
Molecule: ribosomal RNA, 460 nt
Filed under: uncultured Chitinophagaceae bacterium
Lineage: Bacteria; Pseudomonadati; Bacteroidota; Chitinophagia; Chitinophagales; Chitinophagaceae
Description: bacterial SSU rRNA
Rfam family: Bacterial small subunit ribosomal RNA
Source: RNAcentral